RNAcentral lists this long non-coding RNA (268 nucleotides) under Malus domestica (apple). RNAcentral describes it as "long non-coding RNA (MDOM_LNC009867)". The record is from RNAcentral. Lineage: Eukaryota; Viridiplantae; Streptophyta; Magnoliopsida; Rosales; Rosaceae.
UUUAUAUUGGUCUUUCACAUUAGGCGAAACAAUUGAGUAUGAUUCUAAUUUUAUUGAAAUCAAAUUUCUACGUUGUGCCAGAAAAUUUGAGUUAUAUGAGAUUUAUUCUAAUUUUUUACUUCAAUAUCCAACUUAUGAGUUUGAUGCCUGUACAUAAAUGAUCAGCUUCGUAAGAGAGAGAGAGAGAGAGAGAGAGAGAGAGAGUAAGGAAAAGCAAUAGUAGGUUUGGAAGUUAAUUGGUCUCACAAUUAGUGGAUUGAACUUAUUU